This 77-nucleotide transfer RNA is filed under the name Wolbachia pipientis. Its description in RNAcentral is "tRNA-Ile". It matches the Rfam family "tRNA". Rfam says of the family: Transfer RNA (tRNA) molecules are approximately 80 nucleotides in length. The record is from RNAcentral. RNAcentral also lists the same sequence under 1 other name. Lineage: Bacteria; Pseudomonadati; Pseudomonadota; Alphaproteobacteria; Rickettsiales; Anaplasmataceae.
GGGUCUGUAGCUCAGCUGGUUAGAGCACACGUCUGAUAAGCGUGAGGUCAGAAGUUCAACUCUUCUCAGGCCCACCA